GAGUUUGAUCCUGGCUCAGAUUGAACGCUGGCGGCAGGCUUAACACAUGCAAGUCGAGCGGAGAUGAGGUGCUUGCACCUUAUCUUAGCGGCGGACGGGUGAGUAAUGCUUAGGAAUCUGCCUAUUAGUGGGGGACAACAUUCCGAAAGGAAUGCUAAUACCGCAUACGUCCUACGGGAGAAAGCAGGGGAUCUUCGGACCUUGCGCUAAUAGAUGAGCCUAAGUCGGAUUAGCUAGUUGGUGGGGUAAAGGCCUACCAAGGCGACGAUCUGUAGCGGGUCUGAGAGGAUGAUCCGCCACACUGGGACUGAGACACGGCCCAGACUCCUACGGGAGGCAGCAGUGGGGAAUAUUGGACAAUGGGGGGAACCCUGAUCCAGCCAUGCCGCGUGUGUGAAGAAGGCCUUAUGGUUGUAAAGCACUUUAAGCGAGGAGGAGGCUACUGAGACUAAUACUCUUGGAUAGUGGACGUUACUCGCAGAAUAAGCACCGGCUAACUCUGUGCCAGCAGCCGCGGUAAUACAGAGGGUGCGAGCGUUAAUCGGAUUUACUGGGCGUAAAGCGUGCGUAGGCGGCUUUUUAAGUCGGAUGUGAAAUCCCCGAGCUUAACUUGGGAAUUGCAUUCGAUACUGGGAAGCUAGAGUAUGGGAGAGGAUGGUAGAAUUCCAGGUGUAGCGGUGAAAUGCGUAGAGAUCUGGAGGAAUACCGAUGGCGAAGGCAGCCAUCUGGCCUAAUACUGACGCUGAGGUACGAAAGCAUGGGGAGCAAACAGGAUUAGAUACCCUGGUAGUCCAUGCCGUAAACGAUGUCUACUAGCCGUUGGGGCCUUUGAGGCUUUAGUGGCGCAGCUAACGCGAUAAGUAGACCGCCUGGGGAGUACGGUCGCAAGACUAAAACUCAAAUGAAUUGACGGGGGCCCGCACAAGCGGUGGAGCAUGUGGUUUAAUUCGAUGCAACGCGAAGAACCUUACCUGGCCUUGACAUACUAGAAACUUCCAGAGAUGGAUUGGUGCCUUCGGGAAUCUAGAUACAGGUGCUGCAUGGCUGUCGUCAGCUCGUGUCGUGAGAUGUUGGGUUAAGUCCCGCAACGAGCGCAACCCUUUUCCUUACUUGCCAGCAUUUCGGAUGGGAACUUUAAGGAUACUGCCAGUGACAAACUGGAGGAAGGCGGGGACGAC
This 1178-nucleotide ribosomal RNA is filed under the name uncultured Acinetobacter sp. RNAcentral describes it as "bacterial SSU rRNA". It matches the Rfam family "Bacterial small subunit ribosomal RNA", at positions 9 to 1183 of the family's 1533-position model. The record is from RNAcentral. Lineage: Bacteria; Pseudomonadati; Pseudomonadota; Gammaproteobacteria; Moraxellales; Moraxellaceae.